UCUUACCGGACCGACAGCAAUAUGAAGGCCAGGCUGAAGACUUUGCCGGAUUAGCUGAGAGGUGGUGCAUGGCCGUCGUCAGUUCGUACUGUGAAGCAUCCUGUUAAGUCAGGCAACGAGCGAGACCCACGCCCACAGUUGCCAGCGUACUCUCUGGAGUGACGGGUACACGUGUGGGGACCGCCGCUGCUAAAGCGGAGGAAGGAAUGGGCAACGGUAGGUCAGUAUGCCCCGAAUAUCCCGGGCUACACGCGAGCUACAAUGGUUGGUACAAUGGGUAUCUACCCCGAAAGGGGACGGGAAUCUCCUAAAACCAAUCUUAGUUCGGAUUGAGGGCUGCAACUCGCCCUCAUGAAGCUGGAAUCCGUAGUAAUCGCGUUUCAACAGAACGCGGUGAAUACGUCCCUGCUCCUU
RNAcentral lists this ribosomal RNA (414 nucleotides) under uncultured Methanosaeta sp. RNAcentral's name for it is "bacterial SSU rRNA". It matches the Rfam family "Archaeal small subunit ribosomal RNA", at positions 925 to 1338 of the family's 1478-position model. The record is from RNAcentral. Lineage: Archaea; Methanobacteriati; Methanobacteriota; Methanomicrobia; Methanotrichales; Methanotrichaceae.